CUACCUCCUCCCUCUUCCUCGAUUACGUCUUCUACUGUUUCUUCUGUUUCCUGUACUACUUGUCGUUGUAGCAGAUUUUCCAAACAUACUCCAUACAUCCAUUACUGUAGCAACAGCACUAGUUACAGUACUAAACACAUCAACAAUCUUAUGCAGCAUCUCUUUAUUAUCAUAAUUUUGAUCUUUCGAAGUAUGAUUUAAUAACGAUUCGUACAUGUAGAGCAAAGAAGAAGCAGUUGAAAAAUCAGGUAGAGGUGACUGCGAUGAGAUUCUGUUCUGGUAAGGCGAGUAUUGAGGAGAAGGCAAACCGGCGAGAAGUUGCAGUACCAAAUCUGAAUCUGAUAAAGGAUUUUCGUUAGCGGAUAGAGAAUCGGCUAUUGAUUGCAAAUGGUUGAUGUAUGAUUCAAUGGUGUCCAGAUCCCCUUUUCUGGUGCCGUGAAAUUGCAUUUUCAGUUGUUGAAUUGUGAUAGCUUUUUCAUCUUUCGAACUCGAAUCGGUAAUCGAGGAUGGAAAUGG
RNAcentral lists this unclassified non-coding RNA (516 nucleotides) under Hevea brasiliensis (rubber tree). The record is from RNAcentral. Lineage: Eukaryota; Viridiplantae; Streptophyta; Magnoliopsida; Malpighiales; Euphorbiaceae.